CAUGCAAGUCGAACGAUGAAAGAGAAUCCGAUCUCUUCGGAGUGAAGAAUCUCUGGAUUAGUGGCGGACGGGUGAGUAACGCGUGAGCAAUCUGCCUUACACAAAGGGAUAGCCUCGGGAAACCGGGAUUAAUACCAUAUGAUAUCUAUUAACCGCAUGGUCUAUAGAUUAAAGAAUUUCGGUGUAAGAUGAGCUCGCGUCCCAUUAAUUAGUUGGUGAGGGUAACGGCUCACCAAGAUAGCGAUGGGUAGCCGAUCUAAGAGGAUGACCGGCCACAUUGGAACUGAGAAACGGUCCAAACUCCUACGGGAGGCAGCAGUGGGGAAUAUUGCACAAUGGGGGAAACCCUGAUGCAGCGACGCCGCGUGAGCGAUGAAGGCUUUCGAGUCGUAAAGCUCUGUCCUAUGGGAAGAUAAUGACGGUACCAUAGAAGAAAGCCCCGGCUAAUUACGUGCCAGCAGCCGCGGCAAUACGUAAGGGGCGAGCGUUGUCCGGAAUUAUUGGGCGUAAAGAGUGCGUAGGCGGCAAAUUAAGUCAGAUGUGAAAACUAAGGGCUCAACCCAUAGAUUGCAUCUGAAACUGAUAUGCUUGAGUCAAGGAGAGGAAAGUGGAAUUCCUAGUGUAGCGGUGGAAUGCGUA
This 639-nucleotide ribosomal RNA is filed under the name uncultured bacterium. Its description in RNAcentral is "bacterial SSU rRNA". It matches the Rfam family "Bacterial small subunit ribosomal RNA", at positions 54 to 692 of the family's 1533-position model. The record is from RNAcentral.